Molecule: microRNA precursor, 68 nt
Filed under: Salmo salar (Atlantic salmon)
Lineage: Eukaryota; Metazoa; Chordata; Actinopteri; Salmoniformes; Salmonidae
Description: miR-430 microRNA precursor family
Rfam family: miR-430 microRNA precursor family
Source: Rfam by way of RNAcentral
ACAGCAACCCUAACAAAAGCAUUGACUGGUUUCGUCUGCGGUAAGUGCUUUUUGUUGAGGUAGCUAUU